CCUACGGGAGGCAGCAGUGGGGAAUAUUGCGCAAUGGGCGAAAGCCUGACGCAGCGACGCCGCGUGAGGGAUGAAGGUCUUCGGAUUGUAAACCUCUUUCAGCAGGGACGAAGCGAAAGUGACGGUACCUGCAGAAGAAGCACCGGCUAACUACGUGCCAGCAGCCGCGGUAAUACGUAGGGUGCAAGCGUUGUCCGGAUUUAUUGGGCGUAAAGAGCUCGUAGGCGGUUAGACACGUCGGAUGUGAAAACUGGGGGCUCAACCCCCAGCCUGCAUUCGAUACGGUCUGACUAGAGUGUGGUAGGGGUAACUGGAAUUCCUGGUGUAGCGGUGAAAUGCGCAGAUAUCAGGAGGAACACCGAUGGCGAAGGCAGGUUACUGGGCCACCACUGACGCUGAGGAGCGAAAGCGUGGGGAGCAAACAGGAUUAGAUACCCUGGUAGUCCACGCCGUAAACGGUGGGCGCUAGAUGUGGGGACCAUUCCAUGGUUUCUGCGUCGCNGCUACGCAUAGCGCCCCGCCGUCGGGAGGUACGGUCGCGAGACAAACUACAAGAAGUAGACGGCGUGAGACGUGCCGACGGACGACGACGAGGGAGGUUAGG
This 604-nucleotide ribosomal RNA is filed under the name uncultured bacterium. Its description in RNAcentral is "bacterial SSU rRNA". The stretch from base 1 to 522 matches the Rfam family "Bacterial small subunit ribosomal RNA", at positions 338 to 873 of the family's 1533-position model. The record is from RNAcentral.